Molecule: ribosomal RNA, 459 nt
Filed under: uncultured bacterium
Lineage: Bacteria
Description: partial 16S ribosomal RNA
Rfam family: Bacterial small subunit ribosomal RNA
Source: RNAcentral
GAUGAACGCUGGCGGCGCGCCUAACACAUGCAAGUCGAACGGCACCCCGCCUCGGUGGGAAGCGAGUGGCUAACGGCUGAGUAACACGUGGAGAACCUGCCCCCUCCCCCGGGAUAGCCGCCCGAAAGGACGGGUAAUACCGGAUACCCCGGGGUGCCUCAUGGCACCCCGGCUAAAGCCCCGACGGGAGUGGAUGGCUCCGCGGCCCAUCAGGUAGACGGCGGGGUGACGGCCCACCGUGCCGACAACGGGUAGCCGGGUUGAGAGAACGACCGCCCAGGUCGGGAGUGAGACACGGCCCGGGACUCUACCGGAAGGAGCGGUGGGGAAUCGUAGGAACGGCGGGGAAGCCUGGAGCAGCGACGCAGCGUGCGGGACGGAGAUCUUCGGGUAGUAAACCGCUUUGAGCAGGGGAGAGUCAAGACUGUACCUGAAGAAGAAGCCCCGGCUAACUACGUG